UAGUUUCAGCAAAAUCCUAGUGAUUCCACCA
RNAcentral lists this non-coding RNA (31 nucleotides) under Homo sapiens (human). The record is from RNAcentral. Lineage: Eukaryota; Metazoa; Chordata; Mammalia; Primates; Hominidae.